UCUCCGUAGGUGAACCUGCGGAGGGAUCACUACAGAGUUCGUGCCCUCACGGGUAGAUCUCCCACCCUGUGUUAUUAUACCUUUGUUGCUUUGGCGGGCCGCCCCCGGCUACCGGCCCCGGCUGGUACGCGCCCGCCAGAGGACCCCAAACUCUGAAUGUUAGUGUCGUCUGAGUACUAUACAAUAGUUAAAACUUUCAACAACGGAUCUCUUGGUUCUG
This 220-nucleotide unclassified non-coding RNA is filed under the name plant metagenome. RNAcentral describes it as "partial contains small subunit ribosomal RNA, internal transcribed spacer 1, and 5.8S ribosomal RNA". The record is from RNAcentral.